AACUCGGCGAACAGUCAAAACCCGGAAUGAGAAUUAUAAAGCUUAUUUUAUUUGUUUGAUUCAUCGAUGUGGGAAGCUCAACGCCAAUACCCACCUUAACAUUAGGCCCUAGGGCAUGAGUCGCUCGACCCAUUAGCUUAAAUGUUAAUAGCGGAGAUUUGGAUACUUUUGAAUCCUGCGAUUUAGCAUCUGUGAGCACAGAUAUGUAAAUGAGGUCGCUGAAAGAUGGGCUUCGGCUUCAUGGGUAUGCCGUGAAAGCUGGUUUUACACCUACCAUUUUCACUUGCAAUCAACUCAUCCACCUUUACGCCAACCAUGGUCUUCUGCGGGAAGCCCAUAAGCUGUUUGAUGAAAUGCCUGAGCGGAAUGUGUUCACUUGGAAUGCGAUUAUCUCAGCGCAUGUUAGAAACCAAGACUUGGGGCAAGCGCAGGUCUUGUUUGAAUCUGCACCUUGUAAAGAUAUAGUUACGUACAACUCGAUGUUGUCAGGUUAUGUAAGCACGGACGGGUACGAGUUUGACGCGGUUAAGCUGUUUGUCGAAAUGCAGACGAUGCGUGAUGGGGCUCGAUUUGAUGAGUUUACUCUUACGACCAUGCUUAACUUGACGGCAAAGCUGUCGGAGCUGUCUUACGGGAGGCAGCUGCACUCGUUUAUGGUGAAAACGGCCAAUGAUUCAAAUGGGUUUGCCAUGAGUUCUCUUGUUGACAUGUAUUCGAAGUGUGGGUGUUUCCGUGAAGCACAUCAAGUGUUUGACCAUGGUGGAGAUGGGGUGCUUGAUUUAGUUUCUAAGAAUGCAAUGAUUGCAGCUUGCUGUAGGGAAGGUGAAAUGGAAAUGGCUGAAAAUCUCUUUUGGAGAAAUCCAGAGCUGAACGAUACAGUGUCGUGGAACACGAUGAUUUCUGGCUUUGAACAGAAUGGUUGUAAUGAAGAGUCUCUAAAAUUGUUUGUUCAUAUGCUAGAGAAAGGAAUUGGAUGUAAUGAGCAUACUCUAGCUAGUGUUUUGAGUGCUUGCUCUGGUCUGAAGAGUUUGAAGCUUGGAAAGGAAGUCCAUGCUCGGGUUUUGAAGGAGGGGUUGAGCUUAAAUUCUUUCAUUAGCAGUGGCAUUGUUGAUGUCUACUGUAAGUGUGGCCAUAUGAAGUAUGCAGAAUCAGUUCAUGCUGCAACUGGGAUGCUAAACUCCUUCUCAGUCACUUCAAUGAUCGUGGGGCAUUCCUCCCAAGGUUAUAUGGUAGAAGCACGUAGACUUUUUGAUUCGUUAGAAGAGAAGAAUUCUGUUGUGUGGACUGCUUUAUUUUCUGGGUAUGUUAAAUUGAAGCAAUGUGAAGCUGUAUUUGAACUUCUGAGCGAGUUCAGAGCAAAGGAAGCCGUCGUUCCUGAUGCUUUGAUUGUUAUCAGUGCCAUCGGGGCCUGUGCAAUACAAGCUGCUCUGGAUUCAGGAAAGCAGAUUCACUCUUACAUACUGCGAAUGGGAAUUGAAAUGGAUGACAAGCUGGUCAGUGCUAUGGUUGAUAUGUAUUCGAAAUGUGGGAAUAUAACAUAUGCAGAAAGAAUUUUCCGGCCAGUAACUGAGAGAGAUUCAGUCCUUUACAAUGUAAUGAUUGCUGGUCAUGCUCACCAUGGACAAGAAAAACAAGCUAUCCUGCUGUUUGAAGAAAUGUUGGAGAGAGGCAUUAAACCUGAUGCCGUCACCUUUCUUGCACUUCUGUCCGCUUGCCGUCACGGUGGUUUAGUAGAAGUUGGUGAGAAAUAUUUUUAUUCCAUGAUAGAAAAUUACGCCAUAUCUCCUGAAAUUGAUCAUUAUUCAUGCAUGAUUGAUUUAUAUGGGAAGGCUAAUCAACUUCAAAAAGCAGCUACAUUUAUGAAAAGGAUUCCUGUACAACAAGAUGCUGUAAUUUGGGGGGCUUUUUUAAAUGCUUGCAAGAUAAAUCGCAAUGUGGAGUUUGCAAGAGAAGCAGAGGAGAAACUGUUGCAAAUUGAAAGUGAUAAUGGUGCUCGAUAUGUGCAGUUAGCUAAUGUCUAUGCUGCUGAAGGUUAUUGGGAUGAGAUGGCAAGGGUGAGGAGGAAGAUGAGAGGGACAGAAGUCAAGAAAUUUGCUGGUUGCAGUUGGGUUUAUGUUGAGAACAGAGUUCAUGUCUUCAUCUCUGGUGGUACAUCUCAUCCACAAGCUGAGGCCAUAUACUCUCUUUUAUACUGCUUGUCUGAAGAACUAAAUUAAAUAGCCCUGGCAGAUAUUAAAGCCAGGUCAUUAUCAUUGUUAUAUUGUCGAAGUUAAGAUGAUGACACAAACGGUAUAGGUUGCUUUUGGGAAGCAGAUUUUGAAGUUUCCAAAAGCAUGAACAUUUAAGGAUUUUUGGCCAUGCAUUUUGGAUUUCCACCAAAAGUUACAUGAUAUAUUUAGUUAUACAAACAAAAUGAAUCGAAUGUACCAAUCUUAAUGUGAUAGCCUGGGGAUUGAUGUGGAAGCUAGGUCAUCUUAUCAUGUGACAACAGUCAAAAGCAGGUUCACAUGGGCAUGCCACUAAUGUAUUCUAUCGUUCUAAGAUACCCUUUGAAGUUUCAACAGGUUUGUAUUUUACUAAAACACUAAAAUGGUACUACCAAGAAUUAUAAAGAACCAACCACCUUAUUCA
Malania oleifera is the source of this 2631-nucleotide RNA transcript. It is a transcript of the gene named putative pentatricopeptide repeat-containing protein At3g18840, with no coding region annotated. The transcript has 2 exons. The record is from RefSeq and is a predicted model, not a curated record. NCBI's taxonomy places the organism in Eukaryota, Viridiplantae, Streptophyta, Magnoliopsida, Santalales, Ximeniaceae.